AGUAGCGUGGCUCAGUGGAAAGAGCACGGGUUGGGGACCCAGAGGUCAUGGGUUCAAAUCCCAGCUCCGCCG
This 72-nucleotide transfer RNA is filed under the name Ornithorhynchus anatinus (platypus). It matches the Rfam family "tRNA". From Rfam's summary of the family: Transfer RNA (tRNA) molecules are approximately 80 nucleotides in length. Their secondary structure includes four short double-helical elements and three loops (D, anti-codon, and T loops). The record is from Rfam by way of RNAcentral. Lineage: Eukaryota; Metazoa; Chordata; Mammalia; Monotremata; Ornithorhynchidae.